UACGUAGGGUGCGAGCGUUGUCCGGAAUUAUUGGGCGUAAAGAGCUCGUAGGCGGUCUGUCGCGUCGGUCGUGAAAACUUGGGGCUUAACCCUGAGCUUGCGGUCGAUACGGGCAUGACUGGAGUUCGGCAGGGGAGACUGGAAUUCCUGGUGUAGCGGUGAAAUGCGCAGAUAUCAGGAGAAACACCGGUGGCGAAGGCGGGUCUCUGGGCCGAUACUGACGCUGAGGAGCGAAAGCGUGGGGAGCGAACAGG
RNAcentral lists this ribosomal RNA (254 nucleotides) under uncultured bacterium. RNAcentral describes it as "partial 16S ribosomal RNA". It matches the Rfam family "Bacterial small subunit ribosomal RNA", at positions 524 to 776 of the family's 1533-position model. The record is from RNAcentral.